GCAGGGGAGAUUUUCUGGCUUCUCUUGGAUCAGGUCAGGUGUUCAUCCUCAGUCCAAUCAGACAAAUGUUGAGUACAGACAAGCUGCAUGACGUGGCUUGCCCAGGCCCUGCAUCCUGUCCACCUAGACUACCCUCUGCUCUGUCACUUCAGCAUCUGGGAGAGGCACAGUGCUAGAUUCUGGAACUGCAAAUUUAAAUGGAUUCAAUCUCUGCCUUUAUGGAGCUCCCUGUCUAAUGGAAAUAAGAGAUGGACAGUAGACGGUCACACCUGAAUCAUCUGAGACUAAUAAGAAUUUAUCCUGUUUCUGAAGAUGAUCAGAAAAGCAGAUCAACAACCCUUUUGCAUUAUGCCCUCC
This 357-nucleotide long non-coding RNA is filed under the name Equus caballus (horse). RNAcentral describes it as "lncRNA (ENSECAG00000052592.1)". Lineage: Eukaryota; Metazoa; Chordata; Mammalia; Perissodactyla; Equidae. The record is from RNAcentral.